RNAcentral lists this long non-coding RNA (1435 nucleotides) under Mytilus galloprovincialis (Mediterranean mussel). Lineage: Eukaryota; Metazoa; Mollusca; Bivalvia; Mytilida; Mytilidae. The record is from RNAcentral.
AUUAUUUUAAAGUUUUUAAUGAAAUUUAUUCUGUAAUACAUCCAGAAGAAUCUGAGGUACAAAAACAGGUUCACAUGAAUCAGAUGAUAUGUGACAAGUGAGAUUCAAAAGGCUUCUUAUUGCUCUGGAGUAUUGCCUAGUUAUGUUUAAAAUAUCACCUAUACUCUGCAGCAUGUAGUAGUCACAACCAAUUCAGACUUGUAUAUACAUAUAAGUAAUAAAAUCAACCUGUCUUUGGAGAGUUGGGGUUCAGAACUUUUAUCUAAUAUUACAGGUAGGAUGAUGUAUAGGGAAUAUUUUAAACAUGUCACAUAUUCUUUUUCUAAUCUACAUAUCACAAGUACUACAACAUUCUGAAGGUCCCCUGUAAUAUGUUAAAUACCUUGGAUAUAUGUUACUCUAAACUCUUCUUAGAAAUUUUGUAUACAAAACUAAUUCCCCCUAAAGGCAUAUGGUUUUUUAUUUUUAUAUUUCUCUCUGUUAAAUGUAUAUAAGAUAUAUCUAAAUGAUUUUGCUAUAAGCCCCAUAACCAUUAUUGCACUCUGACAACAAAGGACCUUCAAACUAUUACAGUAAAUGUAUUUAGCUAAAACCUAGACUGACAUCAGCUGUAUUCUUGGUUAUUUCCAACAAACAAUUAUCAGAAAUGAGAUUCCAUUUUCAAACUUUAUAAAUUUACUUAUGCUCCAUAAUGAUUCUAUUCCAUAUAAUGAUCCCCUUAACUUAGUUAAAUUUUGUCAGCUUUGUCAUAAAUCUCAUUUGAACUGCUUUUCCUGUAUCUGAAUAUAUUAUGCCUUGAAAUUCAUGUUUGUGGAAUGUUAGCCAGAUUAUAUGUACAGAUAUGUGAGCAAUUAUACAAAAAAAACAUUUUGGUAAAAGACUACUUUCUAUAAAAGUUUGCAUUCUACAUGACAUUAAUACACAUUCAACCAAAACAUACAAAUUUCAACUGUUCAACUGAAUGAAUCCAGAUUUCCAAUUUAAAAUGUUGAUUUCAAGUCGAAUGUGAACAAUAAAAUAAUCUGAUUCUAAAAAUAAUAAAAAAGAUGUAUUUACAAAUCUUACAACAUACAUAUGUGUGAAGAUGAACGUUGGUUUAUCACAUGACGCAUGACACAUAACCACUGUGUGCAUAACUCACAAAAUCAUUGGAAAAGAAAAACAUAAAAAAAUGUCAUCAAAUCUUACUACUACACAUUCAUCACCAUUUUAUUUAAAUGCAAAAUAAUCCUGUUACUUCGAUUUCGUAAUCAUGCAUCUUCCACAAUAGUUUCAACAAUAUAUUAAAACGGUAUAAUGAUCUGGAUAAAAAUUUACUUAAGAAAAUCUUUAAAAUGACACUUUUCAAAAAAAUCUAAAAUUUUUGUAUCACUAAGUACAAAGUUUGUGUAGGUCUCUUUACAACACACUGUUUUUAAUAGUAGGUUUCUCUCUC